This 466-nucleotide ribosomal RNA is filed under the name uncultured bacterium. Its description in RNAcentral is "partial 16S ribosomal RNA". It matches the Rfam family "Bacterial small subunit ribosomal RNA", at positions 29 to 523 of the family's 1533-position model. The record is from RNAcentral.
AACGAACGCUGGCGGUAUGCUUUACACAUGCAAGUCGAACGGGCAAGAGCCGUAGCAAUACGGAGUUCUGCUAGUGGCAAACGGGUGAGUAACGCGUGGGAAACUACCUUAUAGUACGGAAUAGCCCCGGGAAACUGGGAUUAAUACCGUAUACGCUCUUCGGAGGAAAGAUUUAUCGCUAUAAGAUGUGCCCGCGUUAGAUUAGCUUGUUGGUGAGGUAAUGGCUCACCAAGGCGACGAUCUAUAGCUGGUUUGAGAGGAUGAUCAGCCACACUGGAACUGAGACACGGUCCAGACUUCUACGGGAGGCAGCAGUGGGGAAUAUUGGACAAUGGGCGAAAGCCUGAUCCAGCAAUACCGCGUGAGUGAUGAAGGCCUUAGGGUUGUAAAACUCUUUCAGUGGGGAAGAUAAUGACGGUACCCACAGAAGAAGCACCGGCUAACUCCGUGCCAGCCGCCGCCGUAA